This 468-nucleotide ribosomal RNA is filed under the name uncultured bacterium. Its description in RNAcentral is "partial 16S ribosomal RNA". It matches the Rfam family "Bacterial small subunit ribosomal RNA", at positions 28 to 507 of the family's 1533-position model. The record is from RNAcentral.
GACGAACGCUGGCGGCGUGCUUAACACAUGCAAGUCGAACGGAAAGGCCCUGCUUUCGUGGGGUGCUCGAGUGGCGACCGGGUGAGUAACACGUGAGUAACCUGCCCUUGACUUGGGGAUAACUUCAGGAAACUGGGGCUAAUACCGGAUAGGAGCUCCUGCUGCAUGGUGGGGGUUGGAAAGUUUCGGCGGAUGGGGAUGGACUCGCGGCUUAUCAGCUUGUUGGUGGGGUAGUGGCUUACCACGGCUUUGACGGGUAGCCGGCCUGAGAGGGUGACCGGCCACAUUGGGACUGAGAUACGGCCCAGACUGCUACGGGAGGCAGCAGUGGGGAAUAUUGCACAAUGGGCGGAAGCCGGAUGCAGCAACGCCGCGUGGUGGAUGACGGCCUUCGGGUUGUAAACCGCUUUCGCCUGUGACGAAGCGUGAGUGACGGUAAUGUGUAAAGAAGCACCGGCUAACUACGUG